Molecule: unclassified non-coding RNA, 377 nt
Filed under: uncultured Chlamydiales bacterium
Lineage: Bacteria; Pseudomonadati; Chlamydiota; Chlamydiia; Chlamydiales
Description: contains 16S-23S intergenic spacer region
Source: RNAcentral
UCCUGGUUAACCCAGGCAGUCUCAUUAGAGUUCCUGUUAAAAACGCUGGCAACUAAUGAUAAGGGUUGCGCUCGUUGCGGGACUUAACCCAACACCUCACGGCACGAGCUGACGACAGCCAUGCAGCACCUGUACAGCAGCCCUUGCGGGAAGCGACAUUUCUGCCGCCGUCUCCUGUAUUUCAAGUCUGGGUAAGGUUCUUCGCGUUGCAUCGAAUUAAACCACAUGCUCCACUGCUUGUGCGGGCCCCCGUCAAUUCUUUUGAGUUUCACCCUUGCGAGUGUACUCCUCAGGCGGUAUACUUAUCGCGUUAGCUUCGACACAGUUGGGGUUGAGUCCAACUACACCAAGUAUACAUCGUUUACGGCAAGGACUAC